CUGUGGUGCUGGGAACUCUGGACGUGGGUGAUGUUCCUGUUGUCGUAGUUGUAGUUGUGGUUGUAGUUGUUGGUGUAGAUGAAGGUGUAGUUCCUGGGUGCGGUGUUGUUGGUUCAGUUAUAACCUCUGUGGUAGUUGUUGCUUUGGUAGUUGUUCCAGGUGUAGUUGUUUGUUCAAUUUCAGGUGUUGUAGUUGUAGUUGUUGUUGUUGUAGAUGAAGGUGUAGGUUCUGGAUAAGGUGUUGUUGGUUCAGUUAUAACCUCUGUGGUAGUUGUUGCUUUGGUAGUUGUUCCAGGUGUAGUUGUUUGUUCAAUUUCAGGUGUUGUAGUUUUUGUUGUAGAUGAAGGUGUAGGUUCUGGAUAAGGUGUUGUUGGUUCAGUUAUAACCUCUGUGGUAGUUGUUGCUUUGGUAGUUGUUCCAGGUGUAGUUGUUUGUUCAAUUUCAGGUGUGGUAGUUUUUGUUGUAGAUGAAGGUGUAGGUUCUGGAUAAGGUGUUGUUGGUUCAGUUAUAACCUCUGUGGUAGUUGUUGCUUUGGUAGUUGUUCCAGGUGUAGUUGUUUGUUCAAUUUCAGGUGUUGUAGUUUUUGUUGUAGAUGAAGGUGUAGGUUCUGGAUGAGGUGUUGUUGGUUCAGUUAUAACCUCUGUGGUAGUUGUUGCUUUGGUAGUUGUUCCAGGUGUAGUUGUUUGUUCAAUUUCAGGUGUUGUAG
Astyanax mexicanus (Mexican tetra) is the source of this 705-nucleotide long non-coding RNA. RefSeq lists it as uncharacterized. The transcript has 7 exons. The record is from RefSeq and is a predicted model, not a curated record. Lineage: Eukaryota; Metazoa; Chordata; Actinopteri; Characiformes; Acestrorhamphidae.